AGUGAACGCUGGCGGUAGGCCUAACACAUGCAGGUCGAACGGCAGCACAGUAAGAGCUUGCUCUUACGGGUGGCGAGUGGCGGACGGGUGAGGAAUACAUCGGAAUCUACUUUUUCGUGGGGGAUAACGUAGGGAAACUUACGCUAAUACCGCAUACGACCUACGGGUGAAAGCAGGGGAUCUUCGGACCUUGCGCGAUUGAAUGAGCCGAUGUCGGAUUAGCUAGUUGGCGGGGUAAAGGCCCACCAAGGCGACGAUCCGUAGCUGGUCUGAGAGGGUGAUCAGCCACACUGGAACUGAGACACGGUCCAGACUCCUACGGGAGGCAGCAGUGGGGAAUAUUGGACAAUGGGCGCAAGCCUGAUCCAGCCAUACCGCGUGGGUGAAGAAGGCCUUCGGGUUGUAAAGCCCUUUUGUUGGGAAAGAAAAGCAGCAGGUUAAUACCCCGCUGUUCUGACGGUACCCAAAGAAUAAGCACCGGCUAACUUCGUG
This 492-nucleotide ribosomal RNA is filed under the name uncultured bacterium. RNAcentral describes it as "partial 16S ribosomal RNA". It matches the Rfam family "Bacterial small subunit ribosomal RNA", at positions 29 to 507 of the family's 1533-position model. The record is from RNAcentral.